UACGUAGGUGGCGAGCGUUGUCCGGAUUUACUGGGCGUAAAGGGAGCGUAGGCGGGCUUUUAAGUGAGAUGUGAAAUACUCGGGCUCAACUUGAGUGCUGCAUUUCAAACUGGAAGUCUAGAGUGCAGGAGAGGAGAAUGGAAUUCCUAGUGUAGCGGUGAAAUGCGUAGAGAUUAGGAAGAAUACCAGUGGCGAAGGCGAUUCUCUGGACUGUAACUGACGCUGAGGCUCGAAAGCGUGGGGAACAAACAGG
Molecule: ribosomal RNA, 253 nt
Filed under: uncultured bacterium
Lineage: Bacteria
Description: partial 16S ribosomal RNA
Rfam family: Bacterial small subunit ribosomal RNA
Source: RNAcentral